RNAcentral lists this long non-coding RNA (2913 nucleotides) under Mus pahari (shrew mouse). RNAcentral describes it as "predicted gene 15638 (MGP_PahariEiJ_G0002402.1)". Lineage: Eukaryota; Metazoa; Chordata; Mammalia; Rodentia; Muridae. The record is from RNAcentral.
GAACUCAGAUGUGGUUCACGGCUUUCUCCCAGGUGAAUCCUUCUCUAAAAACAUGGGUGAUGUUGGCCUCUCCAGUACAGGACACACUCAGAAUUACAAAUCUAAGUGUGAGGUAAGUGUGAGGAGCCACAGAGGAGGAAGAGAAGAGCCAUCAAGGCUACUGUCUGUCUUGCCUCACGGUAAACACAGCUCACUAAAUACCCAGCAAAGGAAGAGUGAUGAACCAACGUGAACAACAGAGUCUCAUGUUCCAAGUUCAUCUAAAAGUUGGGAAUUAGCUUCCCACCAAGGAAACUAUCUGGUCCCCAGUAGGAAGACACACUGGAUCUUCCCUGGGUUUGAGCUGUUGAUCAGGGCUCGGAAUCAGCUAUGUAGCACCCCUGUUGCACCCAGUGCAGACAGCCUUCAGGGUGCUGGUGCUCAGGGGGAGAGCCCACGAUUAUUCAGUUGUGAAAUGACAGUCAUGUGAUUUGCUGGCACUGAGGAACAGACUCCUAACCACAGCCACGUUUCUGCUCCACUGAUGUGUAGGCACAGGAAUGUAGGACCACACUCCUAAUAUUCCCAUGAGCAGAAAGGGCGAGGAUGCCAAGAGAGCUACUCAUUUUAGGGACACAUUCUUACUACCAGAUGGGAGACCUUGCCUUUGUGCUCACGCUAUCUUCAUGACCACUAAACAGAGAGGCAGCAUCCAUCGGCAGCAAGACUAAGAAAGCAGGUCAUGAGACUAGUGAUACUGUGGGUGACCAGCUGUAACCAGUGUGCGCUGGCCAGAUCUAGGGACUACUAACUCAAUCAUGGGGACCUAGGAACACUAGGAAAUUAAGUUCAGACAUUCUUUCUGCUCACAGUAGUGCCCAGCACUACACAGGCAGAAGCCCGGCAGUCUUGACAGACCCUUGGCUCUCACAGGGGCCGUAAUCUUAGCUGUAACAUGUGGUUCUGGAUCACUUACCUUCCCUGAAUACUGUUGUACAUUAGGACCCACAAGGGCCUUACAUAGUGUGCCCCUUCUCCACUUCAAAACUCUGGCCUGGAUUUAAGAAUCAAAUAAAAGCAUUUGCAAAAGGGUACCUUUUAUUCAGAAUAAAGGACCCAUCCUUGAUGUGAAAUAGCCUCUUUGGUGGCCUACACAGAUUUGCAGUCUUCACUCAGGAAUAGAAAUGUUCAUGUUAGAUUUUGCCGAAAGACUAUGGGGCAAAAGCUACAGGAGUCCUCUGUGUCUCUCCAUCUGCCUCUUUCCAGGUACUCUUUCUGUUUUUCUGGAUAUACAGAAAACUUCACUUUUAUUGAAUGAGUAAGUAACAUUAAGCUACAAGUUUACCCAAAGAAUGAAUAAAAUGGAACAGGAACUUGAACAUACAUUAAAAAAGAAAAUGCAUAAUUCUAGAUCCUUUUAAGAGAUACCACACUGGAUUAAGGUUGAUUGCUUGACUUAAUGAUUUCAUUUAGCUCACACUUAUAAUCCCAACCCUCUUAAAGACUGAGUCAGGAGGAUUGCAAGCAGUCAGUUUGAGGCCAGCCUGGGCUACAGACAGGGUUUCACUCUGCCAUACCCUUGUCCCCAAAGAGUGUUAGCAUCUAGCCUAGUCACAUCUUCUCCUGGCUUUGAACUCACAAUCCCCUUGCCUCAGCCUUCCAAAUGCUGGGGAUGGCAGGUGUGCAGCACUAUGGCCAGCUGAACACAGUUAAUUCCGUUAAGACUGUGAAGAGCUGCAUGGAAAUGAGCCCGUCAUCAGUCCAUGGUUGACAUUAUCAGGAAUUCUCAGCACAAAGCAAGAACCUUGCUGUUACUUGCCUUUAAAACUCCUGACUAAGCACAUGGCUAUUAUUUGAAACCAUGUUUUCAAACUCAGAACCAAAUGAGUGUGACUAGGCAUGUGACUGGGCACAUAACUGACUAGACAUGUGACUGACUGGACAUGUGACUGACUGGUCAUGUGACUGUCAUGGGACUGUCGUGUGACUGGGCAUGUGACUGGACAUGUGACUGACUGGUCAUGUAACUGGUCAUGUGACUGACAUGUGAAUGGUCAUGUGACUGGCUGGGCAUGUGACUGGGCAUGUGAUAUGACUGAAUACAGCUUUCAUUAUCUAAAUUCCAGUCAUUACCCAGAACUCAAGAACUAAGCAGAUUCUUGUAAAUCUCAUUUUUAGAAAACCUAAAUACAUCAGUUUCUUCAUCUUGUAUUACAAAGGAUAGCCUACUGAAAAGUGAAUUUAUAAUAUCCCUCUAUCAUAUUUGUCAUGUACAUAUAUACACAUAUGCAUUAUAUACAUACAUGUACAAGUACAUAUACAAAUACACACUUAUACACAUACAUGAUCUACAUAUACACCCAAAUGUGCGUAUACAUGUAAUAUGUUUUCUUGACAUCCUCUAUCCAUCAUUCACUGGUGCCCAGGACAAAGAGUAUCAUCUCAUACAAAAUGACUAGAUCAUCCUCGUUUAUCUGUAGAUCAGGCCUAAUUCUAUCCCAAGGGAGUAUUUGAGGCUGUGGCAUGAUACUCAAGACUCAUUCACGGUCACGAAAGAAGAAAGAACAAACUCCUGGAGGACCAUCUCAUAGUCCCUAGCAUGGAGCAUAGCAAACUGUAUUUAGUGCUUCUUAAACAGUGAGUAUCCCAGUCAGCUGUGUGGCCAGUAAGAGGAUCACCAUGGGUAUGUGUCAAAUAAUAAAUAAAUAAAAGCCACUCGCUGACAUUGGCUCUGAGUACUUGUCAUAGUAUCAAAAUAUAGUGAAUAUUUAUGGAAUAAUGCAAACAUUUUAAUAAAGUGUCAAAGGAUUCUUAGAGCGCUAUUCAUAUACUACCCCUAGAAUCCACAGCUUUCCAAAAUGGUGUGUUUUAUGUUUUUGUUUUUGCAAUUCUCAGUUUUACUGUCGUUUAUUCAGAAUAAAAUCAAUUGAAAUG